Long non-coding RNA from Canis lupus familiaris (dog), 4275 nucleotides. RefSeq lists it as uncharacterized. NCBI's taxonomy places the organism in Eukaryota, Metazoa, Chordata, Mammalia, Carnivora, Canidae. The transcript is spliced from 3 exons. The record is from RefSeq and is a predicted model, not a curated record.
AGUUUCAUCAAGGCAGGAACCAGGUGGAUCUUGCCCAUGGUUUAUGUCUGAGGCUUUGGACACUGCCCUGUACAACAUAAGUUUUACUUUGUGUGAAAUACCACGCUGAACAUUGGUGACCUGGAGAUAUAGAAGAAGGUGUGCAGCUAGACUGUGGAACAGCUCUCAGAAGCUCACAUUUAAAUGUGGGAUGAUAUGGAGGCUCCAGGUAAAAUAUUUGUCUGGUUCGGAGCAUGGGUUUCUCAUCAUAAUUCAGUGAAGAAUUUCUGAAUCAUGUCUGCUCUUUAGAAUCACCUGGGGGAGCUUUUAAAUAUUCCAAUGCCUGGCCACACCCCAAAUCACUUAAAUCAGGCUCUCUGGAGGUGGAUUCCGGACAUCAGUUUAUUAAAGCUCCUCAGUUGGUUUCAUUGUCCAGCCAGUUGAGAGUCAGUGCUCUGGCAGGAUUAAAACAUCUUCAGAAGUUCCAGAUAACAGGAACAUCAACCACCAGCUGAAGAUGAAAGGACAUUCCAUUCUUUCUCUGCUUUCAAAUGUCUGGUACUGAAUACUGUUUUUCCAGCUCAAAAUAAGGGUUUGAAAACUCUUGUGUGUAAUCAUGCCUCCCAAUGUGUUAUGAUCUUGUCUAAGCUGGGCAAGUGUUACAAAUUAUAAAUGGCCUUCCUGGUACUGUAUAUAGAUGUGGGAAGGACUAUAUUAGGACAUGCUCUACUCUGCCACAAGCACACAUCAAUAGAGAUUUGUUUUCAACAUAAGAACAAUUGCCAUUGUCAUAUUCCGAACUGUGUGCAAAUUGUUUUAUUAUAAACUCACUGUUGGUCCCUAUUUAACUGGGAAAUCAUUUGUUCUAAAUUUAUCUAUUCUCUCUGCAUGGCAUUGACAUUUGCUGGCAAUGCCAGACUUGCUUCACUUAUAAGAAAAAGAUUCCAUGGAGAACAGGCAGUGCUCUCAUCUAACUGAUUAAUAAUCUCUAGAGGAUUUUUGGAACUGGCAUGUUAACUCUUCCCGCUCUCUGGCUAAUUUUGACUUUCACUGAACUCAGAAACACAAACAAUGGUUUUCAUGAAAUGGAGCAGUAAAAGCGUUCUUCAUCAGACCAGCUCUCCAAAGAAAGAAUACUCACUGGCAAAGCUUAAAGAUGAGAAAUGAGAUGUGUAAUGAAAAGUUGUUUGUUUUCAAGAGUUUUACAAGUCAAUUUGGGUCACUUGAUCAGCCAGAUUUUUAUGUCUGUACUAGGCAACCAUUACAUGUUUUCAGAUUGAAAAAAAAAAUAUCCAUCUUUACUCUCCAUGGCAUCUGUAGUUUGUUGAAACCAUCCUUCAAUUUAAUGCAGACAAAGACUUUCUAAAGUCACAUGAUCUGUUUGAGUAAUAGGAAUCCAUUAAGAUUGAACAGAGAUAUCCUAUAUUAUAGUGAUUUCUCCCUUUGUGGAUUUUAUAACUUUCCUACCAAGCUCUGGUGUUUUAAGAUGACAUUUUGAACAUUGGAUUUAACUACCUGAAAGCCUAUGACACGGAAUUGCCAGCAGCCAGCUGGUAGCCUGGAAGGACCUUACUUAGUCAUGACUAUCUGCUUACUACUUCUUUUUAGUAUAAAGAUAAACUGCUUCAGGAGGAUGUCUUGAUUUACAGACAUCCUUUUGUUAUUUCCUUAGAAAUGCUAUUCAAAUAUAGAACUAAGGGAAAAGUCAGAUAUAAAUCUUCAGAGCCAUUAAGUGGCACAAUCUGAGUAUAAAUUUCAUGGUACCAGUGAGGGUUCCAGAUCUUGAUAGUGACUGUUGCUAAUCCAAAUAUUUCCACUGAGGAAAGGACACUCAUUAAUUACUGGUCUAAACACAUGGAAGCACCAGGAAAACCUUUGCUUUAGCCAUGGUAUGUUUGACUACAAACAACAAUGGCAUACAUAUGUUUAUGUAAUUAUUUCCUAUGUGUUUCAUUUGAAAGCUAGCUAAAAUUUAUGUUGCCCACUCUUGAUAAAAACUAAAAGAAGUAAACAAUAAAAGCAAAAGGCAAACUGGUUUAACACUGACUUGACAAAAGGCUCACUUUUGAAUUGGUAUCAUUCACCAGAAGACAAAACACUGGCUAUUAUUUGGGCUUUGGUUAUAGCACAGCAUGUAGUAGGGUGUCAAUAAUAAACAUAGAAUAAAAUUAAUGAAAGCAUCUGUAAUGUAUAUUUGAACAUAAGAACCAUAUUUUGAAUAGAAGAUCAUAUGUGCUUUUUCUUUAAAAAUCUAUAAAAUUUAUAUCAAACCUCACAAUUUUUAUUAUGAGUUUUCAUGAUUAAAUUAUUGCCCCAUCUACUCAGGCUGCUUUUAAUAUUGCCUUUGUUCAUGUAACCAUGGCAACAUCUUUGGUAUCUAUACUUCAGGUCCUGGUCUUUCAUUCCACAAUGGGUCACUUUGCUCUGCGUCUUUCAUAACAGAAAUCAUCUGAGGGCACAGGCAGUCUUGGAAUGGGAUUAUAUUUUUCAUGUCCUUUCUGUUAAGGGCUGACUUGUGUCCUCCCAAAAUCCUCAUGUUGAAAUUCUAACUCUAGGCCUUAAGUAUGUGACUGUAUUUGGAGAUAGGGUCAUUAAAGAGGUAAUUAUAUUAAAAUGAGGCCAUUGGGAUGGGCUCUAAUCCAAUAUGACUAGUAUCCUUAUAAGAAGAAAUUCAGACACAGAUAUGCACAGAUGAAGACCAUGGAAGACACAGGUUGAAGAUGGCCAUCUACAAGUUAAGGAGAGAGGCCUCAGAAGAAAUGAACUCUGCAACAUCUUGAUUUCAGACUUAAGCCUUCAGAACAGUGAGAAAAUAAAUUUCUGUUGUUUAAACCACCCAUUCUGUGUUACUUUGCUAUAUCAGCAAACUAAUGCAACUAUCUUGAUUUUCUAAAUUUUUAUUCUUCCUUCCCAAGUAUCACUGGCCCUUGAAAGUUUGAAAUAUAUUCUAAGCUUCAUGUUUAUGCAAACUUUCAAGUUUGUUUGCUUUCCUUGCAUCUCCUAGACCACCAAUAAAUCUAACCAUAUGAUUUUUCCCAGAUUACCUCCUUCUCUGAUAUUAACAGUUACAUAUUUCCUAGUUUUUGCAACAUAUCAAAUAGGAGAUCUUUUAGGAAGUUACUAUAAAUCAGAAAGGGUUUCUUUAUCAUAGUUUUAGCUAAGUCAUCUGAAAAGGAAUAUUUUCCAUCUAUGACAGGGAGCUGUAUCAUUUAAAAUGGAACUUGGGGAGGAAAUACCAAGAGACCUAGAUUCAUUUAGACUAUGAAUAUGCAUAGGCUGUACAUUAUUAUUUUUCUCUCAUAAGCUUGCCCAUUCUAACAUUCCAUAGCAAUGAAGAAAUACAAAGACACUGAAACAGAUGAUUCAAACUUUGUAUUUGGCAUGGGAUCCGGUGUCCACUGAGAUUCAAGUCUGGGGUGUAGGGAAUGAAUCAAGAUCAGCCUGGUAGAAUAGGAGGCCAUCCAAAUGCUAUGAAGAGUGAAGGAAGCCCAGGGAGGCCUUUGUUUUCCCAAUCUUUCUUCAACCCACAAGCCAUGGUUCAAAAGGCUGUUGUUAGAGAAUUUAUGUUUUGGGUCAGGAAAACUUUUAAUCAUUAAAAAUUUCUUCAAAAACCCAAAAUAUCCUCAGAGGAGCUGAGCAGUAUUUGGCCCUAUGGUGGUAAUGUGAUGAAAGUGACUUUAUUUAGGGUUAUUAUUAGUCUGACAAAUUGGAAAAACAAUUGAAACAAUCCUUUCCCUUGGAUGAUGUUAGGGGCUACUUGAGAUCAUUCCCUAAUUAGGGAUUAAAAGCAGUAGCUCUCUGGGGAUUUGGAUGUUAAGCCUGAACUUAAUGUGCCACGGAGUUUAAAGGGUAAGUAUGAUGAUGGGCAUAUCAUGCUCUGUGCAUUGAGUAAUUUCCAAAGGCUUCAUGUGAGGGCAAUGUGCAAACAGCUCUGUACAAUCAUGCUUAAUGAGAAAUCAUAUUUUAAUGUAUAAUCAUGAAAUGAUUACUUAGAUAGCCUUGGAAGUCUGAAAUUUGUCAUGUUCCUAUGGAAAGCAGGCACAUAUGCAGAUAUAUUCCUUGUCAUGCCAUUAACCAUAAACUUCUGUUAAUAGGCACUUCUGAUAUAUUGAUAAUGAAAGGAUGACUAAUGUUUCUAAUGAUGACCCUGAGGCAUGACAAAAUUCUUAAAUGCUUUUUGAAUCUUCAAAGAGAAUAAGUUACAUUUCCCAGGACCCAAAUUUAUUUUUAUCAUAUUCUAAUUCCCUGGGAAGUAGUAGUAAUUUGUAUAUAGUAUGACAUAUAUAUUCAACAUGG